This 322-nucleotide ribosomal RNA is filed under the name uncultured Bacillota bacterium. RNAcentral's name for it is "bacterial SSU rRNA". It matches the Rfam family "Bacterial small subunit ribosomal RNA", at positions 28 to 351 of the family's 1533-position model. Lineage: Bacteria; Bacillati; Bacillota. The record is from RNAcentral.
GACGAACGCUGGCGGCGUGCCUAACACAUGCAAGUCGAGCGAUGAAGUUCUUCGGAACGGAUUAGCGGCGGACGGGUGAGUAACACGUGGGCAACCUGCCUUGUAGUGGGGAAUAGCCUUCCGAAAGGAAGAUUAAUACCGCAUAACAUUGCACCUUCGCAUGAAGGAGUAAUUAAAGGAGCAAUCCGCUACAAGAUGGGCCCGCGGCGCAUUAGCUAGUUGGUGAGGUAACGGCUCACCAAGGCGACGAUGCGUAGCCGACCUGAGAGGGUGAUCGGCCACAUUGGGACUGAGACACGGCCCAGACUCCUACGGGUGGCAG